This 175-nucleotide microRNA precursor is filed under the name Triticum aestivum (bread wheat). Its description in RNAcentral is "MIR2118 microRNA precursor family". It matches the Rfam family "MIR2118 microRNA precursor family". The record is from Rfam by way of RNAcentral. Lineage: Eukaryota; Viridiplantae; Streptophyta; Magnoliopsida; Poales; Poaceae.
GCCGGGAAGAGGAAGAAACAGAGACCUCAAGAGCACUGGGAAUGGGAACAUGGAUGAAAGACCUUCUAUUUUAUUUGCACCUCUAGUGUUGUGGGCGCAGAUAUUUAAGUUGGAUCCUUUCAUGAUGCCUCCCAUUCUUGCUGUUCUUGUGCACUCGUUCCUCUUCCUUUUGGCU